RNAcentral lists this long non-coding RNA (1058 nucleotides) under Sparus aurata (gilthead seabream). RNAcentral's name for it is "lncRNA (ENSSAUG00010020929.1)". Lineage: Eukaryota; Metazoa; Chordata; Actinopteri; Spariformes; Sparidae. The record is from RNAcentral.
UCUCUGCCAGCAGCUCGCGGCAGUGGGCGUGGCCUGGAUGCAUCAGUGGGCGGGGUCAGGCGCCAGCGCAGGGAGCUCCGUAACCUGCUGCCUUAUGAGGACCAGAUGAUGUCAUAUCCCACCACUCAGGGAGGGGGCGGGGUCAAUGACCUGUACUACCAAUCAGACGACUGGAGGGGGCGGGGUUUGGAUCAGGCCCUGCAACGAUUGGUGGAGAGGGACCAGAGACGGGAGCAGGAAGAACAGCAGCGAGAAGCCUACCUGGCUGCCCUGCUCCGCCUCCUGAACGAGGCUGAGAGCGCGGGAUUGGUCGGACCAGGGGACGUGGAGUUGGUGGAGGAAGAGGAGGAGGAUGAGGAGGAUGAUCAGGGGCCACCAGGGGACUUCCAAGGCCCGGCCCCCCCAGACUACGAUGAGACGGGCCGGGGCAUGAACAUGGGGCGGCCCCGGGCCGCCUGGUGGGGCCUCCUGGAGCCCAAGCUGGCUCAGGCCCUGCUGGACAGGAUGGAGCCUCAGGUGGCUCAGACGCUGCUGCAGAGAGCCAGACAGGCUGGACGGGUAUCCUCAGGACCGACCCGAGGAGGAGACAGAGGAGGAGACAGAGGAGAUGAGGAAGCUCUGAGGCGUCUGGUUGCUAGGUUACUAUCCAGCAUCGGCCCUAACAACGCCCUGGUGAUGUCCUCUGGUCGCCGAGCUAGGAGGGACCUGCCUGUCAUACCUGUUAGCUCCACCCACAGGAGAACCCGCCGCUCCCUUGACGAUAUGACUCCUCCAUCGCCUAGCAACGACCCCCCUCUGCUUCGAGUUAAGAGGCUGGAGGGGGAGGAGGACGAGGAGGAGGAGGAGGAAGAGGAAAAGCUCUUGGCCCCUGCUGCUGAGCUGCAGAUGAUGAAACGCAUCAAUACCAUGGCAACCGCCGCCAUGGAAGAACUGAAUCAUGGGAGUCGUAGGCGCCGGAGGAGAGCUGUCCUGGACUACGACCCCCAAAUACUGAUUGAUCAGAUAGUGGAGUACAUGAGGGAGUAAGAGGAGGAAGAGAGGAGAGGAGAGGAGAGGAG